Non-coding RNA from Cucurbita pepo subsp. pepo (vegetable marrow), 1693 nucleotides. Lineage: Eukaryota; Viridiplantae; Streptophyta; Magnoliopsida; Cucurbitales; Cucurbitaceae. The record is from RefSeq and is a predicted model, not a curated record.
AUGGAUCUUCUCCUUUUGGAGAAGGCUCUGCUGGGGCUGUUUGUGGCCAUGGUUGUUGCUAUUACCAUAUCCAAGCUCAGGGGUAAACGUUUUAAACUCCCACCAGGUCCCAUCCCCAUACCCAUAUUUGGAAAUUGGCUGCAGGUGGGUGAUGACUUGAACCACCGCAACCUGACGGAGAUGGCCAAGAAGUUCGGUGACAUACUGUUGCUCAGAAUGGGACAGCGGAACCUGGUGGUUGUUUCUUCACCAGAGCUGGCUAAGGAAGUGCUGCAUACCCAGGGAGUUGAAUUCGGAUCCAGGACUAGGAACGUGGUGUUCGAUAUAUUCACUGACAAGGGUCAGGACAUGGUGUUCACAGUUUAUGGCGAGCACUGGAGGAAAAUGAGACGAAUCAUGACUGUCCCCUUUUUCACAAACAAGGUGGUGCAGCAGAACAGGCUCGGUUGGGAGGAGGAGGCUUCCAGAGUUGUGGAGGAUCUCAAGAACGAUCCAAAAGCUUCCACCAGUGGGGUGGUUCUGAGAAGGCGCCUGCAGCUUCUUAUGUAUAACAAUAUGUAUAGGAUUAUGUUCGACAGGAGAUUCGACAGCAUGGAGGACCCUCUCUUCAACAAACUCAAGCUUAUAAACGCCGAGAGGAGUCGGUUAUCUCAGAGCUUUGAAUACAACUACGGCGAUUUCAUCCCCAUACUGAGGCCUUUCUUGAGAGGGUAUUUGAAUGUGUGUAAGGACGUCAAGGAGAGGAGGCUCAAGCUCUUCAAGGACAAUUUUGUCGAUGAGAGGAGGAGACUUACAAGCACGAUGAGCAACAAGGAGGAUAGUGUCAAAUGUGCCAUUGAUCAUAUCGUGGAGGCUCAAGAGAAUGGUGAAAUCACCGAAGCUAAUGUUCUCUUCAUUGUUGAGAACAUCAAUGUUGCCGCAAUCGAAACAACAUUGUGGUCGAUGGAGUGGGCAAUUGCUGAGCUCGUGAACCACGCCAACAUCCAGAAAAAGCUGAGGGAUGAGCUCGAUUCGGUGCUUGGACAUGGCGUUCAAAUUACAGAGCCCGACAUUCGCAAUCUGCCUUACUUGCAGGCUGUUAUCAAAGAGACCAUGCGGCUAAGAAUGGCCAUUCCUCUCCUAGUGCCUCACAUGAACCUCCUAGACGCCAAGUUGGCUGGUUAUGACAUCCCUGCAGAGAGCAAGAUUCUUGUGAACGCAUGGUGGCUGGCCAACAACCCUGACCACUGGAACAAACCCCAUGAAUUCCGACCCGAGAGGUUCUUAGAGGAGGAGGCCGACGUGGAGCCUAGCGGGAACGACUUCAGAUACCUUCCCUUCGGCGCCGGGAGGAGGAGUUGCCCGGGGAUCGUCCUUGCCUUGCCCAUUGUCGCCAUUACUUUGGGUCGUCUCAUUCAGAACUUUGAGCUGCUGCCUCCUCCUGGACAGUCCAAGAUUGAUACCACUGAAAAGCCUGGACAGUUCAGCUUGCAAAUAUUGAACCACUCCACUAUUGUGGCAAAGCCAAGGUCUUUUUGAGUUCUAAAUUUCUUCAUCUCCUGCAAGGCAUUGAGUUGAAGAUGUUAUGAUCAGAGCAAGCAGGUUCAGAUGAAACGAAGAUGUCUCUCUUUCUUUUAAUCAAGAAAUGCAUAAAUUGUGUGUGAUCUGAAGCAAUAUUAUGCAAAUUUGUAUGAAAUUUCAUUUCAAUCUACUC